GAAGAUUGUGCGGGAGCUGGAGAGGGAAAACAGGGACCUCAGGGAGGCCAAUGCCGCCCUCCGUGACGCAGCAGGAGAGGGGACCAGCGGCACUCAGAGGCCAGCUCCCGCCCCUCGGACAGGACACAGCUCCAAGUCUGCAGAGGUGAUUGACAGCAGAAGCAGCAGAAGCAGCAGCAGCAGCAGCGAUGAGGAGGAGGAGGAGGCUCCUCCUGUAGCUCCUUUGGUUAG
This is a long non-coding RNA of Epinephelus lanceolatus (giant grouper), 231 nucleotides long. RefSeq lists it as uncharacterized. The record is from RefSeq and is a predicted model, not a curated record. Lineage: Eukaryota; Metazoa; Chordata; Actinopteri; Perciformes; Serranidae.